Molecule: ribosomal RNA, 253 nt
Filed under: uncultured bacterium
Lineage: Bacteria
Description: partial 16S ribosomal RNA
Rfam family: Bacterial small subunit ribosomal RNA
Source: RNAcentral
UACGUAGGUGGCAAGCGUUGUCCGGAUUUAUUGGGUUUAAAGGGUGCGUAGGCGGUCUAUUAAGUCAGCGGUGAGAUACUCCAGCUUAACUGGAGGGGUGCCAUUGAUACUGAUGGACUUGAGUCAAGUCGAGGUAGGCGGAAUUGACGGUGUAGCGGUGAAAUGCUUAGAUAUCGUCAAGAACACCAAUAGUGAAGACAGCUUACUGGGCUUAAACUGACGCUGAGGCACGAAAGUGUGGGGAUCAAACAGG